AUUUUAACAUGAGAGUUCGAUCCUGGCUCAGGAUGAACGCUGGCGGCGUGCUUAACACAUGCAAGUCGAACGAGCUUUAUGGCCACGAUCCCUUCGGGGUGACGGCCAUAAAGCGAGUGGCGGACGG
Molecule: ribosomal RNA, 127 nt
Filed under: Lachnospiraceae bacterium
Lineage: Bacteria; Bacillati; Bacillota; Clostridia; Lachnospirales; Lachnospiraceae
Description: partial 16S ribosomal RNA
Rfam family: Bacterial small subunit ribosomal RNA
Source: RNAcentral